This is a non-coding RNA of Thalictrum thalictroides, 81 nucleotides long. NCBI's taxonomy places the organism in Eukaryota, Viridiplantae, Streptophyta, Magnoliopsida, Ranunculales, Ranunculaceae. The record is from the annotation of a GenBank genome assembly.
GUUGAGAUGGCCGAUUUGGUCUAAGUAACCAGAUUAAGGUUCUGGUCGGUGAAGGCGUGGCUUCAAAUCCCACUCUCAACA